UUGCGGGAGUGCCGGAGCCUAUCCCAGCUAACAUCGGACGAAAGGCAGACUACACUCUCAACUGGUCGCCAGUGAGUCGCAGGGCACAUACAGUAUGGCCACCAUCACUGAGUGGGAAUCGAUCCAACGCUGCCUGCACCAAAGUCAGAUUGAAAGAGAACCCGGUGCAAACUGCAGACUUGUUAGCAUCAGUUCAAGCUUUUACUACAAAGAAGAGAGACAUUUACUCACAGUGUGAUACACUAAAGUGCCUCCGUGCCUUGAUUUGUCUUCUUGCCACAAAGCAAGAUGAACACAGAGAGGAUAAAGGCAAAGCUCACACAGCCAAAGGUGACUCACUGACUCUGCUGCUCCCAAGAGAACAACCUCCAUAGCUCAGAGAUGAUUUCUAUUAGGCGACGAGCAACUCCGA
Molecule: long non-coding RNA, 412 nt
Organism: Syngnathoides biaculeatus (alligator pipefish)
Lineage: Eukaryota; Metazoa; Chordata; Actinopteri; Syngnathiformes; Syngnathidae
Exons: 3
Source: RefSeq, a predicted model, not a curated record